AUAAAACUUUUGGCACUAGUUUCAUUGCUUUUGCAAUUUUUUAGAUCAAGUUAUGACAUUUUUACCAAAACUGGUCGGGUGAGCCUAAGUCCAACAAAUUCUGGGCAGAUUGGUUAUGGAUGGUUUUGUUGAUCUAACUUGUACUAACAAUUUGACUUGGUUAGAGGCAGAUCUGGGUUCUAUGUUCUUCAUGAAAAAUGUGCUCCUAUAUCUAACCUUUCCAAUGGUUCAAGAAUUAGUCAUUUUGACCUUCCUAGUGUGAGUUAUGGCCAUUUGAACAUUUACUGUUCAUUUGGUUAUUUUUCCAGUCCAGAUUAGGGUUACUCGGAUUCAAGUUAAUUUUAUACCAGAUUAGGGACAGUUUUUGGGCAUGAUUUCUUCAUGAAAAAUGGGGCAUUAUGACCCU
This 406-nucleotide unclassified non-coding RNA is filed under the name Hevea brasiliensis (rubber tree). Lineage: Eukaryota; Viridiplantae; Streptophyta; Magnoliopsida; Malpighiales; Euphorbiaceae. The record is from RNAcentral.